AGUGAAAAAAACCACCAGAAACACACACGAGAACGGGCUCUCCUCUCCCUCGCCUCCCGAUCCCAACCGCCAGGCGCUCGAUCUGGUGCCGCGCCGGCCAUCCGGGCGCGGCGUCGAUGGAUCUGGUGGCGGGUGCAGCGUCUUGCUCCGGUGGCGACGGUGUCCUGCUGAUGCUAAGAGACCAGGGCAUGAGGGAGAUAGGAAGAAAUGAGGAUAAGGGGCACAAGGUGAGGGAGGCGGUCGCCGCCGGCGGCGGCUCCGGUGACCGGCCGGAGGGCAGGGAGAGGAGCUCCUGUUGAGGCGGCGGGGCUUGGUGGAUGCUGGUUCCUCCGGAUCGACCCCCUACUCAGAUCUGCACACCCCUGAUGAUUGGAGGUGUGCUUUUCACAUGUUCGUUGAGUUGCUUAAUGACAUAAAAAAAUGAAAUCUGGAGUUAUGCAAUUGCAGCAACAAGGACGGAUGGCCAUCUUCACAGGUUAUGCCCCUUACUGUAGUUUGCAUUCAGUCAUGUGCAGUAAUAAUGGCAUAUUUGUUAGCCUGCUAGCUGUUUCCAGAUUUUUUUAGACAUGAUUGACUGCUUCUACACAAAAGGAGUUUGUCGAAAAUAAGAGCAAUCCCACUGUUGCUACAGAGCCUGAAGAUUCUUUGCCUUUCUUUGAACUGUUUCAGUUUUUUCUUUCAUAUGGCUACAAUUAUUUGAUUGGUCCAUGUAGAUUUAGGCAACAUGAGAUGAGCCGAUGAUAUAUAUUGUAAUGUAUGAUGUCUAUUGCUACAAGUGUUGAUGUCUUGGUGAUGGCAGGUUUUGCAAGUAAUUGAAAUGCUUUUUGAGUAGACGAUAAUUAGAUAAAGUUCUACCUGAUCUUGAGGUAAUGAUUAUUGAUAGCUAAUGACAUGAGGGAGAGGGGGACAAGCCCCUUUAGCUACUGCAAUACGGUUGUGCAUACAAAUGUGCUACUCAUAUUCCACUGUUAGACGAGCUAGCCGCGAGAAGCAGGUUGUAAGGGGAGCCAGAGAGGUGAGGGAGGUGACCAAAGCGGCAGCAGCCUUGGGGUGCCGAAGAAGAGUGCGCGGGAGGAUGGAAAGGGGCUCGUAUACGACGGCUGGAAGAGUGGUUGUGCAGAAGGAAGAUGUUGGUUGAAUGAGUCCCUUGGAGCCUAGCGGUGCUGCUCAGCCCUGUACAUGCCAUUGCCCGCCUCUGUGAGUAACUGGGAUCCUCACGCUACCUUUGGUCAUCCCUGGGAAACAUCAAGCAGAUCAUGAGACUGCAUCUUGAGAAGAAGCAUUAUUUACAACUCAGUAUUAUGUCAUGCAUGGAAGAAGCACUCGACCUUAUUACUAACUACUUCCUCUGUACACAAAUAUAUGACGUCUUAGACUGAACAUACAAGUCUCUAAAACGACUUAUAUUUAUGUACAGAGAGAGUAAUAACAUGUAAACAGGUGUGUUGCGUUCCUAUUCUGAUCGUGGAUUUCAAGCAUACUGCUAACAAAUGUUGGAGAGCGUGGCAAGUUUCAUCUAAUUCAAUACUGAAUUUCUGGCCUUCA
Molecule: long non-coding RNA, 1545 nt
Organism: Triticum dicoccoides
Lineage: Eukaryota; Viridiplantae; Streptophyta; Magnoliopsida; Poales; Poaceae
Exons: 5
Source: RefSeq, a predicted model, not a curated record